GAGCUUGCUCUUAUGAAGUUAGCGGCGGACGGGUGAGUAACACGUGGGUAACCUGCCCAUAAGACUGGGAUAACUCCGGGAAACCGGGGCUAAUACCGGAUAACAUUUUGAACCGCAUGGUUCGAAAUUGAAAGGCGGCUUCGGCUGUCACUUAUGGAUGGACCCGCGUCGCAUUAGCUAGUUGGUGAGGUAACGGCUCACCAAGGCAACGAUGCGUAGCCGACCUGAGAGGGUGAUCGGCCACACUGGGACUGAGACACGGCCCAGACUCCUACGGGAGGCAGCAGUAGGGAAUCUUCCGCAAUGGACGAAAGUCUGACGGAGCAACGCCGCGUGAGUGAUGAAGGCUUUCGGGUCGUAAAACUCUGUUGUUAGGGAAGAACAAGUGCUAGUUGAAUAAGCUGGCACCUUGACGGUACCUAACCAGAAAGCCACGGCUAACUACGUGCCAGCAGCCGCGGUAAUACGUAGGUGGCAAGCGUUAUCCGGAAUUAUUGGGCGUAAAGCGCGCGCAGGUGGUUUCUUAAGUCUGAUGUGAAAGCCCACGGCUCACCCGUGGAGGGUCAUUUGAAACUGGG
Molecule: ribosomal RNA, 578 nt
Filed under: Bacillus sp. ENA08F
Lineage: Bacteria; Bacillati; Bacillota; Bacilli; Caryophanales; Bacillaceae
Description: bacterial SSU rRNA
Rfam family: Bacterial small subunit ribosomal RNA
Source: RNAcentral